Molecule: transfer RNA, 73 nt
Filed under: Camelus bactrianus (Bactrian camel)
Lineage: Eukaryota; Metazoa; Chordata; Mammalia; Artiodactyla; Camelidae
Also listed under: 3 other names
Rfam family: tRNA
About the family: Transfer RNA (tRNA) molecules are approximately 80 nucleotides in length. Their secondary structure includes four short double-helical elements and three loops (D, anti-codon, and T loops).
Source: Rfam by way of RNAcentral
GAGGGUAGAACUCAAGUGUUAGAGUGCAUGCUUAGCAUGCAUGAGGUCCUGGGUUCAAUCCCCGGUUCCUCCU